UACGAAGGGGGCUAGCGUUGCUCGGAAUCACUGGGCGUAAAGGGUGCGUAGGCGGGUCUUUAAGUCAGGGGUGAAAUCCUGGAGCUCAACUCCAGAACUGCCUUUGAUACUGAAGAUCUUGAGUUCGGGAGAGGUGAGUGGAACUGCGAGUGUAGAGGUGAAAUUCGUAGAUAUUCGCAAGAACACCAGUGGCGAAGGCGGCUCACUGGCCCGGUACUGACGCUGAGGUGCGAAAGCGUGGGGAGCAAGCAGG
RNAcentral lists this ribosomal RNA (253 nucleotides) under uncultured bacterium. RNAcentral describes it as "partial 16S ribosomal RNA". It matches the Rfam family "Bacterial small subunit ribosomal RNA", at positions 524 to 776 of the family's 1533-position model. The record is from RNAcentral.